AUUGAACGCUGUCGGCAGGCUUAACACAUGCAAGUCGAGCGAGCGGCGGACGGGUGAGUAAUGUCUGGGAAACUGACUGAUGGAGGGGGAUAACUAAUGGAAACGGUAGCUAAUACCGCAUACCAUCAGAUGUGCCCAGAUGGGAUUAGAGAGUAGGUGGGGUAAGGGCUCACCUAGGCGACGAUCCCGAGCUGGUCUGAGAGGAUGACCAGCCACACGGGAACUGAUACACGGUCCAGACUCCUACGGGAGGCAGCAGUGGGGAAUAUUGCACAAUGGGCUAAAGCCUGAUGCAGCCAUGCCGCGUGUGGGAAGAAGGCCUUCGGGUUGUAAAGCACUUUCAGCGAGGAGGCGUUACUCGCAGAAGAAGCACCGGCUAACUCCGUGCCAGCAGCCGCGGUAAUAC
RNAcentral lists this ribosomal RNA (406 nucleotides) under uncultured bacterium. Its description in RNAcentral is "partial 16S ribosomal RNA". It matches the Rfam family "Bacterial small subunit ribosomal RNA", at positions 30 to 526 of the family's 1533-position model. The record is from RNAcentral.